RNAcentral lists this transfer RNA (88 nucleotides) under Rhizobium sp. MHM7A. Its description in RNAcentral is "tRNA-Ser". It matches the Rfam family "tRNA". From Rfam's summary of the family: Transfer RNA (tRNA) molecules are approximately 80 nucleotides in length. Their secondary structure includes four short double-helical elements and three loops (D, anti-codon, and T loops). The record is from RNAcentral. Lineage: Bacteria; Pseudomonadati; Pseudomonadota; Alphaproteobacteria; Hyphomicrobiales; Rhizobiaceae.
GGAAAGGUGGCCGAGUGGUCGAAGGCGCUCCCCUGCUAAGGGAGUACACCGAAAGGUGUCGAGAGUUCGAAUCUCUUCCUUUCCGCCA